GACGAACGCUGGCGGCGUGCCUAAUACAUGCAAGUCGAACGAAGCUGUUUUAACUGGUGCUUGCACCGACUUAAACAACUGAGUGGCGAACGGGUGAGUAACACGCGGGUAACCUGCCCCAAAGCGGGGGAUAACAUUUGGAAACAGAUGCUAAUACCGCAUAACCACAGAAACCACAUGGUUUCUGUGUCAAAGAUGGUUUCGGCUAUCGCUUUGGGAUGGACCCGCGGCGUAUUAGCUAGUUGGUAAGGUAAUGGCUUACCAAGGCAAUGAUACGUAGCCGAACUGAGAGGUUGAUCGGCCACAUUGGGACUGAGACACGGCCCAAACUCCUACGGGAGGCAGCAGUAGGGAAUCUUCCACAAUGGACGAAAGUCUGAUGGAGCAACGCCGCGUGAGUGAAGAAGGUUUUCGGAUCGUAAAACUCUGUUGUCAGAGAAGAACGUGUGCGAGAGUAACUGCUCGUGCAGUGACGGUAUCUGGCCAGAAAGCCACGGCUAACUACGUGCCAGCCGCCGCGGUAA
This 524-nucleotide ribosomal RNA is filed under the name uncultured bacterium. Its description in RNAcentral is "partial 16S ribosomal RNA". It matches the Rfam family "Bacterial small subunit ribosomal RNA", at positions 28 to 523 of the family's 1533-position model. The record is from RNAcentral.